AUUUAAGUAGUUUAAUUAAAAUAAAGAUUUGUGGAUUCUUUGAUGUUGCUUAGAACCUUAAGUU
This 64-nucleotide transfer RNA is filed under the name Nabicerus dentimus. RNAcentral describes it as "tRNA-His". Lineage: Eukaryota; Metazoa; Arthropoda; Insecta; Hemiptera; Cicadellidae. RNAcentral also lists the same sequence under 1 other name. The record is from RNAcentral.